GACGAACGCUGGCGGCGUGCUUAACACAUGCAAGUCGAACGGAAAGGCCCUGCUUUUGUGGGGUGCUCGAGUGGCGAACGGGUGUGUAACACGUGAGUAUCCUGCCCUUGACUUUGUGAUAACUUCAGGUAACUGGUGCUAAUACCGGAUAUGAGCUCCUGCUGCAUGUUUUGUUUUGGAUAGUUUCGGCGUUUGGGGAUGGACUCGCGGCUUAUCAGCUUGUUGGUGGGGUAGUUGCUUACCAAGGCUUUGACGGGUAGCCGGCCUGAGAGGGUGACCGGCCACAUUGGGACUGAGAUACGGCCCAGAAUCCUACGGGAGGCAGCAGUGGGGAAUAUUGCACAAUGGGCGGAAGCCUGAUGCAGCAACGCCGCGUGCGGGAUGACGGCCUUCGGGUUGUAAACCGCUUUCGCCUGUGACGAAGCGUGAGUGACGGUAAUGGGUAAAGAAGCACCGGCUAACUACGUG
This 468-nucleotide ribosomal RNA is filed under the name uncultured bacterium. RNAcentral describes it as "partial 16S ribosomal RNA". It matches the Rfam family "Bacterial small subunit ribosomal RNA", at positions 28 to 507 of the family's 1533-position model. The record is from RNAcentral.